RNAcentral lists this ribosomal RNA (435 nucleotides) under Triticum aestivum (bread wheat). Its description in RNAcentral is "partial small subunit ribosomal RNA". Lineage: Eukaryota; Viridiplantae; Streptophyta; Magnoliopsida; Poales; Poaceae. The record is from RNAcentral.
AUGGCUGCGGGGACGCUGCAGAUCAGGCCGAAGGCGAAGAGCCUGUGGCUGCUGGUGCGCCGGCUGCUCUGCCGCGGCAACAAGCUGCACAGACCGCCCGCGGGCGCCGGGGACCAGCAGGGAGACGGCUGCGGGGAGAAGAGGAGCCUCCUCGGCCGGAGCGGCUCGCUGGAGGAGCUCCUGGGGCCAGACGUCGCCGGCGCCGUCCGCCGCAGCGCCAGGAAGGACGUCCAGGUCGUCCAGCACGCGCUGCUGCCGCCUGAGCGGCAACGGCAGGAUCAUGCGGACGCGGCGGAGGCUCGCCCGGCGGACGAGCCGCUGGCCGCCAGCGCCGCGGCCGUGCAGCAGUACCGGAGGUUCAUGUUCGGCGGGUUCCGGCGGCGGCUGAUGAUGCGGAGACAGUGGCGGCCCAUGCUCGUCGCCAUCCCGGAGUGA